Molecule: long non-coding RNA, 1087 nt
Filed under: Gossypium barbadense (sea-island cotton)
Lineage: Eukaryota; Viridiplantae; Streptophyta; Magnoliopsida; Malvales; Malvaceae
Description: long non-coding RNA (GBAR_LNC018720)
Source: RNAcentral
GAUAAUAAAAUCAGUUGCAGAUCACAGGUUCUACAACUAGUUCAAAUGAAAGAAGGAACAAAAGGGAUUAAAAAGAAUGUCAAUUUCAUGGAAUAACUAAUUACAAAAAGAUGAACUAAUGGUAUUAUAAAUAUUCUUCUUUUCAUUCUCAUUUGCUUCUUCCUUUUCCAUUCGUUUUCCAACCUGUUAUUUUGGAUUAUUGUGAGUGAAUACUCCCAAUUUUCCAAACAAACAUGCUCCAUUUCUUAAUUUCUUAAGUAUGAAAUAAGAAAAAGUCCUAUAUGAUAAUAAAGGCAUUAGACAUAUUCAUAAGCUGAGCAUAUUACUAACAUAAUAUAUACAGCAGCCUCCCAUAUAAUAACGGUAAUUUGGUGCAUUUUCCCCUAUUAUUCGACAUCAAAAGACAAGUAGAAUAUAAUAGUUUCAAACACAAGGAGAGGGAAAAAGCCAACUUACAAGCCGGGAAAAAACAUGUAACAUACUAGAAAAUAGAUUCAAGCUUUGAGAAGAAUGAACAAACAAAGUAAAUAAAUCCUUACUAAUCAUGCUAAACAUGAAACAUCGCAAUACAAUUCAUUUUAAAAAAUCUGAGAUUAAUUACUAAUUAACUGGAAUACCAACAAACGACGAAACUAUCCAUAUAAUAAUGAAAAUAAAUUGGAAGCCAUACCAAUUUCAUAAACCCUAAUUUCAAAAAUAUGGAAGAGACAAGGGGGAAAGUGACGUGUAACCGAAAGGAAAAAGUUUUAAUCAACAAAAAUAAUGUUAAACGAUUAAGGGAAAAAAAGAAUAGAAUGUUUUACCUUUUGAAGCGGGGUGGAGAGAAACAGGCGAAGAAUUUCCAGCCAAAAAUUAGGCUCAAACUAAACGUUAACUGAUUUUAAUAAUUUGGAGGGAUUGGGGAAGAAAUAAAGGGAUGUGGGAAAUUGGAGAUUUCGAUUAGAAAGGGAUUUGGGAAGUUGGGAAAUUGAGGAAAAGAAAUUGGGGAAGAAUAGUUUAGGGAUUUUGAUCAGAAGUUGGGAAAUUGGGGAAAAGAAAUUGGGGAAAUCUAAUUUGGGGGAAAACCUAAAGGAAUUUCGGGUCUAAU